This 1611-nucleotide ribosomal RNA is filed under the name Lophophorus lhuysii (Chinese monal). RNAcentral's name for it is "16S ribosomal RNA". It matches the Rfam family "Bacterial large subunit ribosomal RNA". Lineage: Eukaryota; Metazoa; Chordata; Aves; Galliformes; Phasianidae. The record is from RNAcentral.
UUGCCCUCCCUCUAGCCCAAUCACUCACAACCCCAUACCAUCAAAAAUCCAUUAUCCUGUCAAACCAAAACAUUUUAACCAUUUCUCAGUAUAGGCGAUAGAAAAGACCUCUGGCGCAAUAGAGACCAAUUGUACCGUAAGGGAAAGAUGAAAUAAUAGUGAAAACUACAAGCAAAAAAUAGCAAAGACUAACCCUUGUACCUCUUGCAUCAUGAUUUAGCAAGAAUAACCAAGCAAAGUGAACUAAAGUUUGCCCUCCCGAAACCCAAGCGAGCUACCUGUGAGCAGCUAAAACUGAGCGAACCCAUCUCUGUCGCAAAAGAGUGGGAUGACUCGCUGGUAGAGGUGAAAAGCCAACCGAGCUGGGUGAUAGCUGGUUACCUGCCAAAUGAAUUUAAGUUCUCCCUUAACUUAUCCCCAAGGACAUCCACUCAACCCCACACACAUUAAAGUUAAGAGCAACUCGAAGGGGGUACAGCUCCUUCGAAAAAGAAUACAACCUCCCCUAGCGGAUAAUUUUUUCCUCUCCUUAUUGUGGGCCUUAAAGCAGCCAUCAACAAAAGAGUGCGUCAAAGCUCCCCCAUUAAAAAUUUUCAAACCCAUUUGACUCCCUUACCCUAAGCAGGUCAACCUAUGACAAUAGAAGAAUUAAUGCUAAAAUGAGUAACUCGGAACCUUCCUCUGCGCAGCGUAAACUUACAUUAACGCAUUAUUAACAGAACUCGACUUAUACCUCCACUCCAACAAGAACUCAUAUUAAACUUAAUCUGUUAAACCAACUCAGGAACGCCCAUAAUAGACGAUUAAAACCCACAAAAGGAACUCGGCAAAUCAUAGACCCGACUGUUUACCAAAAACAUAGCCUUCAGCAAACAACAAGUAUUGAAGGUGAUGCCUGCCCAGUGACCCUCAAAGUUUAACGGCCGCGGUAUCCUAACCGUGCGAAGGUAGCGCAAUCAAUUGUCCCAUAAAUUGAGACUUGUAUGAAUGGCUAAACGAGGUCUUAACUGUCUCCUGUGGGUAAUCAGUGAAAUUAGUAUUCCCGUGCAAAAACGAGAAUGUGAUCAUAAGACGAGAAGACCCUGUGGAACUUAAAAAUAACGACCACCCUCCCACCCACCUUAUCCACCGGACCUACCCCCAUAAAACACCUGGUCGACAUUUUUCGGUUGGGGCGACCUUGGAGAAAAACAAAUCCUCCAAAUCCACAGACCACAGCUCUUCACUAAGACCAACCCAUCAAAGUACUAAUAGUAAUCUCGACCCAAUAUAAUUGAUCAAUGAACCAAGCUACCCCAGGGAUAACAGCGCAAUCUCCUCCAAGAGCCCGUAUCGACAAGGAGGUUUACGACCUCGAUGUUGGAUCAGGACAACCUAAUGGUGCAGCCGCUAUUAAGGGUUCGUUUGUUCAACGAUUAACAGUCCUACGUGAUCUGAGUUCAGACCGGAGCAAUCCAGGUCGGUUUCUAUCUAUGAACUAGACUCCUCCUAGUACGAAAGGACCGGAGAAGUGGGGUCAAUACCACAAAGCACACCCCAGCCUUAUAAGCAAUGAACACAACUCAAUUGCCAAAAGCCCACCAUACACACCAAUCUCCUAGAAAAGGAGCA